This 497-nucleotide ribosomal RNA is filed under the name uncultured bacterium. RNAcentral describes it as "partial 16S ribosomal RNA". It matches the Rfam family "Bacterial small subunit ribosomal RNA", at positions 28 to 507 of the family's 1533-position model. The record is from RNAcentral.
GAUGAACGCUGGCGGCGUGCCUAAUACAUGCAAGUCGAGCGAACAGAUGAGGAGCUUGCUCCUCUGACGUUAGCGGCGGACGGGUGAGUAACACGUGGAUAACCUACCUAUAAGACUGGGAUAACUUCGGGAAACCGGAGCUAAUACCGGAUAAUAUAUUGAACCGCAUGGUUCAAUAGUGAAAGACGGUUUUGCUGUCACUUAUAGAUGGAUCCGCGCCGCAUUAGCUAGUUGGUAAGGUAACGGCUUACCAAGGCAACGAUGCGUAGCCGACCUGAGAGGGUGAUCGGCCACACUGGAACUGAGACACGGUCCAGACUCCUACGGGAGGCAGCAGUAGGGAAUCUUCCGCAAUGGGCGAAAGCCUGACGGAGCAACGCCGCGUGAGUGAUGAAGGUCUUCGGAUCGUAAAACUCUGUUAUUAGGGAAGAACAAAUGUGUAAGUAACUAUGCACGUCUUGACGGUACCUAAUCAGAAAGCCACGGCUAACUACGUA